CGGCAGACCUCUUGCUCCAAAGCACCUGAGUAUCGAUGGUUGUAAGAUGUUCAUCAUCAAGUCGCUUCCAUGUUUUAAUAGAUUUGACAUCUCCCCACCCUCCUUUCCCUGUUUUCUCCAAAGAUGCUACUACCAUCCUUGCCCUCCUUGACCAUCCAGCCUUCCCAUAAGCGUGAUAUCCAAAUCCUCCACCAUAGCAAAGAUUUAUGUCCAUCAACUUGCCACAAAAAUCAUUUAGGUGAUCAUGGCCAGCGAAUGCUGCCUUUACAUCACCAGCUUCCACCAUAGUGGUGAAGAAACCUGAAUUUAUUGAAGCAGAG
Solanum stenotomum is the source of this 320-nucleotide long non-coding RNA. RefSeq lists it as uncharacterized. The record is from RefSeq and is a predicted model, not a curated record. The transcript has 2 exons. NCBI's taxonomy places the organism in Eukaryota, Viridiplantae, Streptophyta, Magnoliopsida, Solanales, Solanaceae.